AGAGUUUGAUCAUGGCUCAGAACGUACGCUGGCGGCACGCCUUAUACAUGCAAGUCGAACGAAGUAGCAAUACUUAGUGGCAGACGGGUGAGUAACAUGUAGGUAUCUUCCCUUUGGUGAGGAAUAACACGAGGAAACUUGUGCUAAUACCUCAUAAGUCUUUACAGAGAAAGCUUUAUGCGCCGAAGGAUGAGCCUGCACUUGAUUAGUUUGUUGGUGGGGUAAUGGCCUACCAAGACUUUGAUCAAUAGCUGAUCUGAGAGGAUGAUCAGCCACAUUGGGACUGAGACACGGCCCAAACUCCUACGGGAGGCAGCAGUAGGGAAUAUUGCACAAUGGAGGAAACUCUGAUGCAGCGAUGCCGCGUGAGUGAAGAAGGCCUUUGGGUUGUAAAGCUCUUUCGUCGGGGAAGAAAAUGACUGUACCCGAAUAAGAAGGUCCGGCUAACUUCGUGCCAGCAGCCGCGGUAAUACGAAGGGACCUAGCGUAGUUCGGAAUUACUGGGCUUAAAGAGUUCGUAGGUGGUUGAAAAAGUUGGUGGUGAAAUCCCAGAGCUUAACUCUGGAACUGCCAUCAAAACUUUUCAGCUAGAGUUUGAUAGAGGAAAGCAGAAUUUCUAGUGUAGAGGUGAAAUUCGUAGAUAUUAGAAAGAAUACCAAUUGCGAAGGCAGCUUUCUGGAUCAUUACUGACACUGAGGAACGAAAGCAUGGGUAGCGAAGAGGAUUAGAUACCCUCGUAGUCCAUGCCGUAAACGAUGUGUGUUAGACGUUGGAAAUUUAUUUUCAGUGUCGCAGCGAAAGCGAUAAACACACCGCCUGGGGAGUACGACCGCAAGGUUAAAACUCAAAUGAAUUGACGGGGACCCGCACAAGUAGUGGAGCAUGUGGUUUAAUUCGAAGAUACGCGCAGAACCUUACCAACACUUGACAUGUUCGUCGCGACUUUAAGAGAUUAAAGUUUUCGGUUCGGCCGGACGAAA
Molecule: ribosomal RNA, 980 nt
Filed under: uncultured bacterium
Lineage: Bacteria
Description: bacterial SSU rRNA
Rfam family: Bacterial small subunit ribosomal RNA
Source: RNAcentral